GCGAAGCCAGGCUGGAAACCCCCUGAACGAGGCAGUUCCUCUUCUGCUCCACAGGUUAAAUGACCAAAAUGUUUUUGCAGGAAAUCUCUAGGAAUUGAUAUCUUUUUAACAUAUAACUUUUAUGUCGCAUGUAAGAUACCGACAUUCUGAGUAACAUGCUAAUUAGACUGUAAAACAUCCUAGCUGUUUUCAGACUCCAUAUGACUGUCAUGACAGAAAACCUUAGCCAGUUUUCAAGGUAUUUGAGUUGGGAAAAAUGAAGUGUAAUGGAAAAUGAUUUCCUUGUUUUGAAGAUUUCUGUGAGGUAUCCCCCGUGCUGCUGUACUCACUGUCCGUUUGAGCUCUUGGCAACACCCUGGCAGGUUCCAGUCAGCCUCCAGCAGCACGGAGAACCACAACCUGCAGGUGUGUUGUCCCUUUACACGGGACAAGUGCGUGGUGUGCGGUCAGGAGCCCAUCUACAAUGGUGGAGGGACAUCCAACCUGCUGCCUGAGUCUUUCCUAGAUCCCGAAUAUAUUCACCAAUACGAAAAUCUGAAUGAAGUACCACGCACAGUAGCAAAGACUGAAGAACGUCCCAAAGCACAUAUGGAGCAGGUUCCGGCAUGUUUUCUGGGUGAAGAAAGCAAAGUCCAGAGAAUAUCUACAGUAUGCUUUAUUCAUGGAACAAAAAUGAUAAAUAAGACAGAUGUAUAUCUGUUCAUUUGGGCAAAAAUAAAGAUAAAUAAACAAGGAACUAUUGAAGUACAGCACCCAUAGGGGGUAGCUGGGAACAGAAGUAAUAGAAGUAAUAUUUCUCAGAUCAUGUCUUUUUCUACAGUUUGGACAUUUGGGCCUAGGUUAAUGUUCCCCUAUGUAAAACAGAAUAUUAAAAGGGUGAGUUCAAAACUACCAUGGGAUAUGAUGAAAAGCAAAUUAAUCUGGGUGUAUUCCAAUGAAUAAUAUAAGCAACUGCAGAGGGGAGGACACUUGACCUAAGUAGCUUUUAAGUAAUCACAAUCAUGUGAUUUCUUCUACUUUCAGGCUAUAAACAAAAUCAAACCUCAAAAACCAGGAGGUUUGAUUUCUAUCAUGGUAUGGAGCUAGCAAUUCUAAAACUUCUUCUCUGUAUUGCAGGACUGAGCCAAAGAAUAAAUAGAUUGUGGCACUAGGCAUCUCACUGUUGGAGAAGGGAGUUACAAAUAUGGAAAGAGAGAAGAAUAGAAUGAAAUCUAUGGUAAAGGACUGAACUGGAAAAACUGGCAUAAAUUGAUGACAUAUAGAAAGAAACGGAUGUAAAGAGACAAACAAAUGUGCACACAUACUUUGUUUUGUGUACUGAGAGCGCAAAAAAGCAAUGGUAUUCCAAUAGCAACGAGCCUUGGAGCAUCCAGGUCUUGGUUCUAAGUAUUGGUUUCUACCAAGAAGAACCAGUCUUCCUUGGAAAAAUGGCAAAUGUCAUUGCUGGGUCUUAGAAAGUACAGGGUGACUCAGGGUAUCUUGUUUUUCCACAAAGUAAAGAAAUGUUCAAAAAUGCUAAGGAGAAAUCAAAAUGACACUCAAACUACUCUGAGGGCUUCCACUGGGCCAAGUAAAGAACAACUUGUGCAAUGAAAUAAAUAAUGACAGUACAAUUGCAACACAUUGAAUAAACAAAAUUCAAGUUGAUAUAGACUCUGAGUACAUGAUAAAACCAUCAAUGAAGGAAAACCAGGGGAGAAGAGAAAGCUUUUAUUCACAAUUUAUUUACAAUAGAAGGCCAGUUUGUGAAUAUAGAAGUCAUGACCGAAUUAGAAAGAAUACCAUUUGGCAAUCACUACAGUCAUAAUUGUCUGAGAUAAGAACUAUUAAUGUAUGCUAAUAUUAGAGAGUGAAGCAUAAGGAAAAGAUGAGGCUAUUUACAUAAUUUUGCAGGCUAUCCCCACAAAAUCCUUAUUAAUUAAAGGGAAGAAGAGUAACUUUAUACUCGACAAAGCUGGCAGACACCAGCUUCAUUCCAUGCUCAAAGUUACCACCGCUUUAGUUAAGUAAUCAAAGUUACCACUGCAAGUCAUAGGGCCACUAGGUAACACAGGCCCCCGAUAAGGACAUAACGUCCCUUCUUUGGUAUUCCCGCCGAACAUGUAUGGCCUGAACCUGUUGCGAAGAAAUGACAGACAGACCCAAAUGAAGGGAAGUAGCAGCUGGCCUCCAGGGUGGUCCCAACCGUUCCCCUCCUCCUCGCACUCCCCUCACUCACAGUGCCCUUCCUUAGUGAAAAGGGUUGAUCAGUACUAUAACCGACAAUCAUCUGGCAUAACGUAAUGUGACCUUUGCAAAUCCAUCAUGGAAUACAUUCCAGCUUAUGCCUUUCAUGAUCUGGGAGAAGCCAGUGCCUGAGGACACUCAGCACUUGUGCAGCCCAACAGUGAGGUCCACAUGGUGAAGAAACCGGGAGCUACGCAGGAGGCACACGACCCCCUGCGGCUGCUGCAGCCCUAGGCAGCCCUCUCCCGGCUGCUGCUCACUGAGGUCGCAAUCUGCCAGGACCCCAGGCCUUGCUGAGCCGCUCUCAAG
Long non-coding RNA from Chinchilla lanigera (long-tailed chinchilla), 2535 nucleotides. The record is from Ensembl. Lineage: Eukaryota; Metazoa; Chordata; Mammalia; Rodentia; Chinchillidae.